AUUAGCUCAAUUGGUGAGAGCAUGGUGUUAAUAACACCAAACAUGUGGGUUCAAUCUCCAUAU
RNAcentral lists this transfer RNA (63 nucleotides) under Taeniopygia guttata (zebra finch). It matches the Rfam family "tRNA", at positions 6 to 65 of the family's 71-position model. From Rfam's summary of the family: Transfer RNA (tRNA) molecules are approximately 80 nucleotides in length. The record is from Rfam by way of RNAcentral. Lineage: Eukaryota; Metazoa; Chordata; Aves; Passeriformes; Estrildidae.